AAGAUUUUAAGUUAUAAGAAACUGUUAGUUUUCAAAGCUGAAAAUAAAAUAUUUUUUUUUAAAUCUUG
Molecule: transfer RNA, 68 nt
Filed under: Nemertopsis sp. WYS-2013
Lineage: Eukaryota; Metazoa; Nemertea; Enopla; Monostilifera; Emplectonematidae
Description: tRNA-Trp
Source: RNAcentral